GGCUGGGUAGCUCAGCUGGUUAGAGCGGUGGAUUCAUAACCCACAGGUCGGCGGUUCAAGUCCGCCCCCCGCCACCA
This 77-nucleotide transfer RNA is filed under the name Phenylobacterium sp. Its description in RNAcentral is "tRNA-Met". It matches the Rfam family "tRNA". Rfam says of the family: Transfer RNA (tRNA) molecules are approximately 80 nucleotides in length. Their secondary structure includes four short double-helical elements and three loops (D, anti-codon, and T loops). Lineage: Bacteria; Pseudomonadati; Pseudomonadota; Alphaproteobacteria; Caulobacterales; Caulobacteraceae. RNAcentral also lists the same sequence under 1 other name. The record is from RNAcentral.